RNAcentral lists this ribosomal RNA (111 nucleotides) under Lepisosteus oculatus (spotted gar). The record is from RNAcentral. Lineage: Eukaryota; Metazoa; Chordata; Actinopteri; Semionotiformes; Lepisosteidae.
GCCAGCAGCCAUGUCACCCUGCGACUCACAUCUGGUGAAGCUCAGCAGGAGUGAGCCUGGUCAGUACCUGGCUGGGAGACCUCCUGGGAAAAACUAAAGUUGCUGCUGGAA